This 422-nucleotide ribosomal RNA is filed under the name uncultured bacterium. RNAcentral's name for it is "bacterial SSU rRNA". It matches the Rfam family "Bacterial small subunit ribosomal RNA", at positions 355 to 774 of the family's 1533-position model. The record is from RNAcentral.
UAAGGAAUAUUGGUCAAUGGAGGCAACUCUGAACCAGCCAUGCCGCGUGAAGAAUUAAGGCCCUCUGGGUUGUAAACUUCUUUUAUAUGGGAAGAAAUGUACUUUUUCUAAAGUGCUUGACGGUACCAUAGGAAUAAGCACCGGCUAACUCCGUGCCAGCAGCCGCGGUAAUACGGAGGGUGCAAGCGUUAUCCGGAUUUACUGGGUUUAAAGGGUGCGUAGGCGGAUGAAUAAGUCAGUGGUGAAAUCUCCGAGCUUAACUCGGAAACUGCCGUUGAUACUAUUUGUCUUGAAUAUUGUGGAGGUAAGCGGAAUAUGUCAUGUAGCGGUGAAAUGCUUAGAUAUGACAUAGAACACCAAUUGCGAAGGCAGCUUGCUACACAAUCAUUGACGCUGAGGCACGAAAGCGUGGGGAUCAAACA